UACAGAGGGUGCGAGCGUUGUCCGGAAUCACUGGGCGUAAAGGGCGCGUAGGCGGCCCGGUAAGGUUGCGGUGAAAGCCCGGGGCUCAACCCCGGGUCGGCCGUGGCAACUGCUGGGCUGGAGCACAGUAGAGGCGGGUGGAAUUCCGGGUGUAGCGGUGGAAUGCGUAGAGAUCCGGAAGAACACCGGUGGCGAAGGCGACCCGCUGGGCUGUUGCUGACGCUGAGGCGCGACAGCGUGGGGAGCAAACAGG
Molecule: ribosomal RNA, 253 nt
Filed under: uncultured bacterium
Lineage: Bacteria
Description: partial 16S ribosomal RNA
Rfam family: Bacterial small subunit ribosomal RNA
Source: RNAcentral